This 457-nucleotide ribosomal RNA is filed under the name uncultured bacterium. RNAcentral describes it as "bacterial SSU rRNA". It matches the Rfam family "Bacterial small subunit ribosomal RNA", at positions 335 to 784 of the family's 1533-position model. The record is from RNAcentral.
ACUCCUACGGGAGGCAGCAGUGGGAAUAUUGCACAAUGGGGGGAAACCCUGAUGCAGCCAUGCCGCGUGUGUGAAGAAGGCCUUCGGGUUGUAAAGCACUUUCAGUAGGGAGGAAGGUAGUGUAGUUAACACCUGCAUUAUUUGACGUUACCUACAGAAGAAGCACCGGCUAACUCCGUGCCAGCAGCCGCGGUAAUACGGAGGGUGCGAGCGUUAUCCGGAUUUAUUGGGUUUAAAGGGUCCGUAGGCGGAUUAAUAAGUCAGUGGUGAAAUCCCAUCGCUUAACGAUGGAACUGCCAUUGAUACUGUUAGUCUUGAAUGAGGGUGCAGUGGUUGGAAUGUGUAGUGUAGCGGUGAAAUGCAUAGAUAUUACACAGAACACCGAUUGCGAAGGCAGAUCACUAACCCUAAAUUGACGCUGAGGGACGAAAGCGUGGGGAGCGAACAGGAUUAGAUA